GCCCCCGUAGCUCAGCUGGAUAGAGCAGCGGCCUUCUAAUCCGCAGGUCCCCCGUUCGAAUCGGGGCGGGGGCG
This 74-nucleotide transfer RNA is filed under the name uncultured Solirubrobacteraceae bacterium. Its description in RNAcentral is "tRNA-Arg-TCT". It matches the Rfam family "tRNA". Rfam says of the family: Transfer RNA (tRNA) molecules are approximately 80 nucleotides in length. RNAcentral also lists the same sequence under 1 other name. Lineage: Bacteria; Bacillati; Actinomycetota; Thermoleophilia; Solirubrobacterales; Solirubrobacteraceae. The record is from RNAcentral.